Amphibalanus amphitrite is the source of this 2096-nucleotide long non-coding RNA. RefSeq lists it as uncharacterized. The record is from RefSeq and is a predicted model, not a curated record. Lineage: Eukaryota; Metazoa; Arthropoda; Thecostraca; Balanomorpha; Balanidae. The transcript is spliced from 3 exons.
CAGUUGGACUUGAGCGGUCGCCAUGGUGGUAUCGGGGACUCGGCCGGCCGCGUUAGCACAGAAGAUCCUCAGUCAUAGUUAACAAAAUGGAAAAAAUAGCUGUGUUUUUAAGAUUCCAGUCGUGGCCAUCAACUGCUCAGGAAAGCAGCCCAGAAUCACUUCACAACAGGUUUCCAAAGAAUCAUCAUUCAUCGGCACAGAAGGGUGGGAAAGAGAAGGUUGUUCAAAUUCUGAAAAGCCAGAGCUGCAAAGGAGGUCAAAGAUGCAGUAGAGUUUCACUAGUGGUUCUGAUGUGGACUGGAGAUUACACGCUGGAUUGAAGUGGCCGGUCUGGAGCAGCUGUAAUUCAUCAUUCGUGCUGAUUGUGGACGAGUAAGAGCCCGCGUUGGCCCCGAUCGGCGAUCGCUGGCCAAAGCCCACCACCAGGUUGGUGAUAGGCGUUGGCUGUACUUGGUGGGGGGGGGGGGGGGAGGGGAGGCGUAUUCGGCCACACCAGGUUAUCUUGUAAUGCAACAAAGCUGGAAAGACGCAGUAAAAUCAAUAUAUAGCUCGCCAUUUUUCUUCAGAAUCAUACAGGUCAUUUUCGAUCAGGUCAUCGCUGAGGUCACUGGAGGUCACCAAAACCAAAAUGAUGACGAAUUUUGGCUCCCGAUUUUGACAACUUCUCAAAUUGGUUCAUAACUCGGGAACCAAAGAAGCUACAGCGCCGCGGAAAAGCGAAUUCGAUAGCUCUUUCGAAAAUCUUUCAGGUUCUCAGAUUUGAGCUAAGGUCAACUAGGGUUAAGCCUCCAAAGGGCAAAAACUGAACAAUCGGCUUGCUUCGGAAAUCGUCUUUUCUUUUAAAACUUGUGAUACCAACCUUUUAUUACGUUGAUUUUACCGGCACUGCGUUUCGCUCGUCUUGUUGACCUAACAAGGUCAACUUAAUAAAUUUGACCUCAGGUCAAUGUCUCAGAAAAUGCCAUAUUGCAUGUUAUCGAUUCGUUACAUUGAAAUUGAGAUUAACAUCAGUAGCGGCGGAACACCUUCAAUUAAGGGGGCAUUGCCGACUUUUGGUCUCAUUCUUUCCAUGCAACGCCCACAGGGCUAAUGUUAAAAUGCCAAAAUCAAAGGGGGCACGGUGCCCCGGUGCCCUCUCCGUUCCUCCGCCUAUAAUUAUGAUGCUUUUAGCGCUCUGGCCAUGCUCCAUCUAAAAUCGAUGUACAAAAAUAAACUGUUGGAGACGUUACAUGACCUGAGAUGACCUCAGGAGCAUACGAUAGAUCCCGAUGUUUGAGUGUUUUUGUUUCAAAAGCAGAACAUUUCGAGUUCCUCAUACUGACUGAAACUGGAGACGUCGCAAAGUUGACCCGAGGGGUGUUCACGGGCACCGCACACUGCUGCGUGCGGUGUGUGCGGUGCGUCCAGCAGGCGUGGGGGUAGGGGAUGGGUAGGCGGCUCUGACGUCACGGCUGCGUGCGGUGGACGGUCCGCUGUGGCCAGUCCCGACCGGCCACAGCGAUCGCUGUGUGCGGUGACGGAAGGCUGACGUAGGGACGCAGUGGGCGGAGCUUGGAGGCUGUGUGCGGUCCGACCGCACACAGGGCCCGUGAACAGCCCUCUGACCCUAGGUCACCGUUCACCGAUAUCAAAAUUAAAGAUACUCAAGAUGUUGGUACUGAUUCUCUCAUGCAAUAGCUCGAGUUUCAAACUUCUACGUCAUGGUGACCUGACCUGACCUUAGGUGACAUGGGGUUACAUUUUUUUUUUCACAAAUGAUGCGAAUCGAUGCAUUGUACAUAAGCUAUACUAAGUUUCGUGUCGUUUUAUUUAUGCAAGCAAGUUAUUAUUUAUGUCAGGUGUGGCCAAAAACGCCCCCACCCACCUGGGGGAACGUUACAGCAGUGAUGUAUUUUUCGGUGUAUUCCACGAUGCAUCGAUCGGUGUACUUGAUAAUGCAUUAUUUAUUGCUGCGUGUCUACGCUUUUGCUCUGUUCAGUGUGAUCUGUGAUAGAAAAACUACCGAUAUAUCUCCACGCGCAUGACUGAAAGAGCUGGCAUGAUCUAUAAUAUUGGGUGUCUGUUUUUGUUUGGCAUUUUAUAAAUACUGAGUCAGC